Long non-coding RNA from Pyrgilauda ruficollis (rufous-necked snowfinch), 1925 nucleotides. RefSeq lists it as uncharacterized. The record is from RefSeq and is a predicted model, not a curated record. Lineage: Eukaryota; Metazoa; Chordata; Aves; Passeriformes; Passeridae. The transcript is spliced from 4 exons.
GUGCGGCUGCGGGGGGGGCCGCGGCAAGGGCGAGGGCAGCCGCCCUCUCGCCAAGCGGCGCACCUGCCCUGCCCGCCCCUACCUUGUUGAGGUGGGGGUCGCGGAGCACCUCGUAGCCCCUCUUCAUGGUCCUGAAUAUUACUUUUAGUAAGUAUCAGGCAUAUGUGGUUUCAUCUCGGCUCUUUCUUAGUUAUAAACUUGAAAAGCAACAUAGAAACAUCCUUUCUCCUUUCUUGAGUAUGAGAGAAUGAAAAGUCCUUGACUGAGGGUGAACGCUAUUGGGCAACAGCUGAAACAUCAGUGUUAUCAACAUGAUUCUCCUACUAAACCCAAAAUGCAACACUCUACCAGAUAUUAGGAAGAAAAUUAACUCUUAUCUCAGCCAGGAACUUGACAACCUGCUUUUUCAAGCCAGUAGUACUGGAAGGCUGCUAUGACGUCUUCCCAGAGCCUCUUCUCCAGGCUGAACCAUUCCAGCUCUCUCAGCCUGUCUCCAUAGUGCAAAGCCCAGGAUAUGGUUGCCUGUCUGGUCUGCAAGUACACUUUUACAGCUCAUGUUGAGCUUCUUGUCAACCAAACCCCCAAGUCUUUCUUCCCAGGACUGCUUUCAAUCCUUUCUCCACCCAGCCUGCAUUUGUGCUUGGGAUUGUCUGGCCCAGGUACAGAGCUAGGGUUAGGGUUGUACUUGGCCUUGCUAAAUUUUAGGAGGUUCACAUAGGCCUGUCUCUCAAGAUUGUCCAGGUCCAUCUGGAUGACAUCCCUUCCCACUAGUGUGUCAACCAUACCACACAGCCACUGGCAAACCUGUUGAGGGUGCACUCGAUCCCACUGUUUAUCAUUUUACCAAGCUUAACAUCUGAAAGAGAACACUCAAGGAAUGGCUUAGAGUUCAUGCUUCACUAGAGCAUAAAGAAGAGUGUUUCUCUCCAGCCACUUUUAAGAUGAUUCUCACCUCAUGAUUAUUCAGGUAGUAGCAGUCAAUGUCCCAUGAACUUAUUCACUGCUAGAUCUGUUCCCCUUGUCAUCCAAAGAGUCUUCCUAUACAGCUCUAUAGAGGCCCUCAAAGGUCUGGAGACUAUGGCUUUAAUACAGUGGUUCUGCAUAAAUUCUUAAUAUGAAGCUAACAAGCAUCUAAAAAAGAUUUCUACUGAGAUAACUUCCCAUUCCCACGCUAAAACCCCAAAAGGAUGCUGUAUUUCUAAGACAAUAUUUUGAAGGUGAACUAACCUGGUCAUUUUGAAGUUUGACAAUGUUUUCCAAAUAGCAUCAUGUCCUUUUACAUAGUUAAGAUUAUUUCUUCUGACCUCAAUUUAUAAAAAUGUCCAAAGUUAUUUUCUGUUGUGCAAAAAAAAAAAAGAAAUAACAGAGACUUUGUUUAAACAGCAGAUUUUCUGGUUUCAAGCGGUCAUGUAAAAGAUAAUUCACCAUUACAGUGGAUUUGCAGUUACAGGACAAGAAUGACAGAGUUUCAAAAAUAAUGUGGCGUUGUUGCCUGUGCAUAGCAAUUAGUUGGUGGCCUACUUCAGAUGAGAGUUUCAGUGGCUUAUAAAAUGUCCAAAGAAUAGCUGUCCUAGUUAAUAUAAUUGACUGCAAGGGACAGUUGAAGGGCAUGGUUUAUUUAUUUGAGGAAACAUUAUCCAAAAAUUAAGCAAAUUUGGGCAAUAAAUAAGCUGUAGCAAGAAAUAUGAGUAAAUUACAAAUUUUAGAAAUAGACUGAUAAAAACACUACUGCACAGCAUUAAAUGUCUUACCUGGCAAAUAAUCAGGUGUCUUCUUGCUUAAGUUUGUGAGCUGUUUUAUUGAUUCAUACUUGUAAGAAGAGAUUCUUGAAGAAAAACAUUACUCAAAAUGUGUUUAAGUGUUUAUGUACAAUAAAGAAAUAUGUAAAUAAACAUAUCACUACUUGUUGCUCUAUCCUACCAUUA